AGAUCUCUCUCACUGGCCCAGGGAUUCAAGGCAUUCGGUGCAAAACCUGGCUAGCAGCCCAAGUGAGUAGGAGCCAUGUGACUCUGGUGAGUUGGAGUGUGCAAUUGCCUCCUGCUUCAGAGCUACCUGAUCCGAAUACUAAGCAGAGCGAGUGCCGGGCUGAGUGUAAGACACUGAAGACACUGCAGAGAAAGGUGCUUAUUCCAGAGGCGUUGCAAAACAUGGAGAUUAAAGACCAGGGGGCCCAAAUGGAGCCGCUGCUGCCUACGAGAAAUGAUGAAGAGGCAGUUGUGGAUAGGGGUGGAACUCGUUCUAUUCUCAAAACACACUUUGAGAAAGAAGAUUUAGAAGGUCAUCGGACACUAUUUAUUGGAGUUCAUGUACCCCUGGGAGGAAGGAAAAGCCAUCGACGUCAUAGGCAUCGCGGUCAUAAACACAGGAAGAGAGACAGAGAGAGAGAUUCGGGAUUAGAUGAUGGAAGGGAGUCACCUUUCUUUGAUACCCCUUCACAGCGGGUACAGUUUAUUCUUGGAACUGAAGAUGAUGAUGAGGAGCACAUUCCUCAUGACCUUUUCACAGAGCUGGAUGAGAUUUGCUGGCGUGAAGGUGAGGAUGCUGAGUGGCGAGAAACAGCCAGGUGGUUGAAGUUUGAAGAAGAUGUGGAGGAUGGGGGAGAGAGGUGGAGCAAACCAUAUGUGGCGACUCUGUCAUUGCACAGCUUGUUUGAGUUGAGAAGCUGUAUUCUGAAUGGAACCGUGUUGCUGGACAUGCAUGCCAAUACUUUAGAAGAAAUUGCAGAUAUGGUCCUUGACCAACAAGUGAGCUCAGGUCAGCUUAAUGAAGAUGUGCGCCACAGAGUCCACGAAGCACUGAUGAAACAGCAUCACCACCAGAAUCAGAAAAAACUCACCAAUAGAAUCCCCAUUGUUCGUUCCUUUGCUGAUAUUGGCAAGAAACAAUCAGAACCAAAUUCCAUGGAUAAAAAUGGUCAGGUUGUUUCUCCACAGUCUGCUCCAGCCUCUGUUGAAAAUAAAAAUGAUGUGAGCAGAGAAAACAGCACUGUUGACUUCAGCAAGGGACUGGGAGGCCAACAAAAGGGGCAUACUAGUCCAUGUGGGAUGAAACAAAGGCAAGAAAAAGGACCUCCACACCAGCAAGAGAGAGAGGUUGAUCUGCAUUUUAUGAAAAAGAUUCCUCCAGGUGCUGAAGCUUCAAACAUCUUAGUGGGGGAGUUGGAGUUUUUGGAUCGAACUGUAGUUGCAUUUGUCAGGUUGUCUCCAGCUGUAUUGCUUCAAGGACUGGCUGAAGUCCCCAUCCCAACCAGAUUUUUGUUCAUUCUUCUGGGACCCCUGGGAAAGGGUCAACAGUACCAUGAGAUUGGCAGAUCAAUUGCAACCCUAAUGACAGAUGAGGUGUUUCAUGAUGUUGCUUACAAAGCUAAAGAUCGUAAUGACUUAGUUUCAGGAAUUGAUGAAUUUCUGGAUCAGGUUACUGUUCUCCCUCCUGGAGAAUGGGAUCCAAGCAUUCGUAUAGAGCCUCCAAAAAAUGUUCCUUCCCAGGAGAAGAGGAAGCUUCCUGCUGUACCAAAUGGAACAGCAGCUCACGGGGAAGCAGAGCCCCAUGGAGGACACAGUGGACCUGAACUCCAACGAACAGGAAGGAUUUUUGGGGGACUUAUUUUAGAUAUCAAAAGAAAAGCUCCAUACUUCUGGAGUGACUUCAGAGAUGCUUUCAGCCUGCAGUGCUUAGCAUCUUUUCUAUUUCUCUACUGCGCGUGUAUGUCUCCUGUCAUCACAUUUGGAGGACUGCUGGGAGAAGCCACUGAAGGUCGUAUAAGUGCAAUCGAAUCUCUCUUUGGAGCAUCCAUGACUGGGAUAGCCUAUUCUCUCUUUGGUGGACAGCCUCUUACCAUAUUAGGCAGUACAGGACCAGUUUUGGUGUUUGAAAAGAUUUUGUUUAAGUUUUGCAAAGAAUAUGGGCUGUCAUACCUGUCUUUAAGAGCUAGUAUUGGACUUUGGACUGCAACUCUAUGUAUCAUACUUGUGGCCACGGAUGCAAGCUCCCUUGUUUGCUAUAUCACUCGGUUUACUGAAGAAGCUUUUGCUUCUCUUAUUUGCAUCAUUUUCAUUUAUGAAGCCCUAGAGAAGUUGUUUGAACUCAGUGAAGCAUAUCCAAUCAACAUGCAUAAUGAUUUGGAACUGCUGACACAGUACUCAUGUAACUGUGUGGAACCCCAUAAUCCCAGCAACGACACACUAAAGGAAUGGAGGGAGUCCAAUGUUUCUGCCUCUGACAUAAUUUGGGAGAACCUAACUGUGUCAGAAUGCAAGUCUUUGCACGGAGAGUAUGUUGGACGAGCCUGCGGUCACGAUCACCCAUACGUCCCAGAUGUUCUGUUUUGGUCAGUGAUCCUGUUUUUCUCCACAGUUACUCUGUCAGCCACCCUGAAGCAGUUCAAGACCAGCCGCUAUUUUCCAACCAAGGUUCGAUCCAUAGUGAGUGACUUUGCUGUCUUUCUUACAAUUCUGUGUAUGGUUUUAAUUGAUUAUGCCAUUGGGAUCCCAUCUCCAAAACUACAAGUACCAAGUGUUUUCAAGCCCACCCGAGAUGACCGUGGCUGGUUCGUUACACCUUUAGGUCCAAAUCCAUGGUGGACAGUAAUAGCUGCUGUUAUUCCAGCUUUGCUUUGUACCAUUCUAAUUUUCAUGGACCAGCAGAUUACAGCUGUCAUCAUCAACAGAAAAGAGCAUAAGCUAAAGAAAGGUUGUGGAUACCACCUGGAUCUAUUAAUGGUGGCUGUCAUGCUUGGUGUGUGCUCCAUCAUGGGCCUGCCAUGGUUUGUAGCUGCCACUGUUCUCUCCAUCACUCAUGUCAACAGUCUAAAGCUGGAAUCAGAAUGUUCAGCUCCAGGAGAACAACCCAAAUUUCUUGGCAUUCGGGAGCAAAGAGUUACUGGGCUUAUGAUUUUUAUUCUUAUGGGUUCAUCAGUCUUUAUGACCAGCAUUCUGAAGUUUAUUCCCAUGCCAGUGUUGUAUGGAGUAUUUCUUUAUAUGGGUGCUUCAUCUCUAAAGGGAAUUCAGUUUUUUGAUAGAAUAAAGCUCUUCUGGAUGCCUGCAAAACAUCAACCAGACUUUAUAUAUCUAAGGCAUGUACCACUUCGAAAAGUCCAUCUCUUCACAGUCAUUCAGAUGAGUUGCCUUGUCCUUUUGUGGAUAAUAAAGGUUUCAAGAGCUGCUAUAGUCUUUCCCAUGAUGGUAUUAGCUCUGGUAUUUGUAAGAAAGUUGAUGGACUUUUUGUUUACCAAACGGGAACUCAGCUGGUUAGAUGAUUUAAUGCCUGAGAGUAAGAAAAAGAAACUAGAAGAUGCUGAAAAAGAAGAAGAACAAAGUAUGCUAGCUAUGGAAGAUGAGGGCGCAGUACAACUGCCAUUGGAAGGGCAUUACAGAGAUGAUCCAUCUGUGAUCAAUAUUUCUGAUGAAAUGUCAAAGACUGCCUUGUGGAGGAACCUUCUGAUUACUGCGGAUAACUCAAAAGAUAAGGAGUCAAGCUUUCCUUCUAAAAGGUUUGAAUUCUAAAAUAAUGUGAAUUUAAACUGAUCCCAGUCAUUCUUAUGACAUGAAUCCAUUAGCAAAAAUGUAAUAACUUUUCAUCAAAUUUAUAUCUAAAGUGUUUUGGAAAAUUCUUUUUAAAAGUGGAUAAAAUUAUAAUUAUCAUAUUGGUUGUUAUAUUUUUCAUCUCCCUUUCAAAUGAAAAGUUCACUCCAAAACGAUGACAGUGGGGGUACUUGGUACUGUAAAUGAGUCCCGAUGCACGACAUCUUUGGACAUUCACUUUGGCCUACUCUUUUGCAGUAGGAUUGUAUUGUAUCCCCUUAUCACUCACUUCCCAAGAACGCUGUUGAUGUCUGACCACAUUUUGCACUCCCUCAUGUCCUUUUUAAAACUCACAUGGCACAUGAAAUGGUGGUUUCAUAUUUAGUACAUUUCCAGUUUCCUACUCAUCCAUUUGAAAAUCUUCCCUAACCUUCUUACCCCAAAACUUUCAGCUCCAGAAAGUUCUGUUCAUUCUUACUUAUCUGUAUGAAAAUAUUACAAACAAUUCCUGUAGUUGUGCAUGGUAAUUUUAAAUGCAUGCUGGGGGAAGAAUGUAUCCUUAAAUAUCAAGAGUCAUCAUAGGAUUUCCAAUGGAAUUUUCCAGAAUUUAUAAAUAAGAGUUCAAACCAUCAGCCUUCUUAGAUGCUGAUCUAAAGAAAAAUCUCUGUUAUGGUAAUAUCUCUUCUUAUUAAAGAGUGAUUGAGGGAUUUGGGACAGUGAAUAAUUAUUAAUUUCCUUUUAUUUUCAUGGCCUUAAAUUAACUCUUUCUACUUAAUUUUUAUAUUACAUUUUUGUCAUAAGCUCCCCUUCCUAAUCACUCUAGAAGCUGAUUCCCCAAAGCACUGAAAGCCGAAAAGAGAAGAAAGCUGACUCACAGAAAGGUGUUGACAGGGAGACUUGUCUAUGACUUGAUCUUCAAUUUAUUUUUUAUAAAUAUAUGAGAAGAGUGCCACAAUUAUUAAUAAAACUGCUUUGAUCAUGUAUUGUAAAUUCUGUCUCUCAUCCCAAACCCACCUUCAUACUGUAAGUAGUGCACUACUUGUUUCAUUUCUGUGUUUAAACUUCUGAGCACUGAGACACCCUUGUGAGCAUUUACAGUAGCUAAUGCAAGAACCUCUGCAUUGCUUGUGUGUGUGAGGCAUUUGUAAACACUAGAUCCUCAUUGUCAGUUUUAUGAGAGCAAUAGCUUUCUUAAAGAGAUAAGUAAUAUUUACCUAGUUUGUAUUUUCUUACUGUAGUGACCUGAAGAUGCCUGGUAAUUUCAUUGAGCAGAAUUUUGAAGGUAGUCUUAUUUUUAUAGAUUAGCAUUAGUGACUUAUUUCAAAAGACCCAACAAUCAAAAAUUAGUGGGAAAGCAUUUUUAAUAAAAUGAAUUAUGCCACUUGCUUGAUUUAAUAUGAUACAUUAAUACUUCAGAAUUUGUAUGUAACUAAAAUUUAAAUUUGACAAAAUACAGAGAGACCUAUUUCACAAAUUGUUUAAAAGAAUCAGACAUUAAUGCAAAGAGUCAAGUAGUAUUUGCUUAAGAUUCAAGUUGUGCUUACAUAAUCAAAUAUUAGGCUUGUAUGGAACUGCUUUAGAAACCAAGUUUGUGAGAUUUCCCAAAAACCUUUAUCAGAACUGUGCUGUUAAUUUCUCUCCUAUUGGCAACAGAUAUUGUCCAAAUAAACCUAUCAUAUAUAUGUAUGUAUAUUAUAUAAUAUAUUAUAUAUAUAUAUACAAUACAUCCUAUAGGUGUGUGUGUGUGUGUGUGUAUACGUAUAUAUACAUACACACACACACUCGUGGAAUACCAGUGGUGAGUCACUGCACAUGAAACCACCACUCCUGUGCAGUUGCUCUGCUGCUAAAAGUCGUGUACUGCUAAUGCUGCUCCUUGCAUCACGUUUGGAUGUUAGACUGAUGGGUCUCUCAUUGACAUUUUUUCUGUAAAGCUCUUUUCCCACUUUUUAAUUAAAUACAUGUUGGAAAAAAAUAUCUUUUAAAUGAAAUUUUAGAUUCUGUUUGAAAAGUUCUGUAGAUAUUUCAGUCAUAUAAAAUCAUCUUUACUAAGCUUAUCAGAGGAAGUAAAAGUCAAGAAUUUUGAGCAUUUGCUAAAAAUACAGUGUUUCUUUUGUUUUAGAUGAAUGUCAAGUUAACAAAGACUGUCUCAUAGUACUCUUGUUUCCUAAUAAUGAUCAGUGAUCAUAACAUUAUAAUCUUCAGUGUCCAAUUCAUAAUCAUUCAAAGCCCUGUCCUGAAAGUGAUUAAUACAUAUUCUGUGUAUAAGUGUGUGUGAAAAGUGAGCAACAACAGCAUAUGAAAAACAAAUGCUCUUGUGAUUAAGCUUAUGAGGGAAAACAAAACUAUCACAAAGCCUUCAUUAGGUUCAACAUUUUGAUCCCUUCUGAAAAAUUCCCCCUCACAAUCUCUUAAGGAGCCAUUUAUUUUAUGGAACAUAAGCCUAAAAAAUACAAGAAAGAAUAUGCAGUUAAUAAAGUCUGUGUUUAUAAAUGCCAAGGGAAAAAUACAGAAACUUCCAUUCUAAUAUGUUGCUUUGUGUAUUUUAUAAUACAGAUACUGUAUCAUAAACAUUCCCCAUUGUUUUAUGAUUUAGACUAGUUGUACAUGCCAGGUCAGUCCCAUAAGCAGCCUCUUAGUGUUUUAAUAUAUUAAUAACCAUUCUGUUUGAAAUGCUCAUAGUGAAAUUAAAACCUUCACAUGAUCACCUAUUUGAAUAAGCAAUCAUAUCUGAUGAAAUUCUGUAUUUCUGAGUAUUUUUAUAGUCAUUUUGUUUUCAUGUGAAUCUUGAUAUCCCUAUGUCAAUCCUAAUAUUUUGAACUCAUAUAAAUAUAGGAAAAUGUAGUGCUAUAUAUUUCCUCCUAAUUUCAGAUUCCUGGUCAAAAUUAGUGACUAUCUUGAAUGUAAUUUAUUGCCAAGUAAUGUGUAAAUGUGACUAGGAUAUGGUGUUUUCACACUAAGAAAUGUUAUGUGGAAAUAAUAUUAUCCUAACUAAUUUUCUUGCACAUU
Molecule: RNA transcript, 6602 nt
Organism: Phyllostomus discolor (pale spear-nosed bat)
Lineage: Eukaryota; Metazoa; Chordata; Mammalia; Chiroptera; Phyllostomidae
Gene: SLC4A10
Gene name: solute carrier family 4 member 10
Exons: 26
Source: RefSeq, a predicted model, not a curated record